GAGAUAGCUCACUUGGUAGAACAUGAGACACAAUCUCGGGGUUGUGGGUUUGAACCCCACCUUGAGCA
Molecule: non-coding RNA, 68 nt
Organism: Podarcis lilfordi (Lilford's wall lizard)
Lineage: Eukaryota; Metazoa; Chordata; Lepidosauria; Squamata; Lacertidae
Source: the annotation of a GenBank genome assembly